Molecule: ribosomal RNA, 253 nt
Filed under: uncultured bacterium
Lineage: Bacteria
Description: partial 16S ribosomal RNA
Rfam family: Bacterial small subunit ribosomal RNA
Source: RNAcentral
UACAGAGGUCCCAAGCGUUGUUCGGAUUCACUGGGCGUAAAGGGUGCGUAGGCGGUCGGGUAAGUCUGACGUGAAAUCUCCGGGCCUAACCCGGAAACUGCGUUGGAAACUGCCUGGCUAGAGGAAUGGAGGGGGGACUGGAAUUCUCGGUGUAGCAGUGAAAUGCGUAGAUAUCGAGAGGAACACCAGUGGCGAAGGCGAGUCCCUGGACAGGUCCUGACGCUGAGGCACGACAGCGUGGGGAGCAAACAGG